GGAGAGGUGUCCGAGUGGUUUAAGGAGCACGCCUGGAAAGCGUGUAUGUGGUCAACGCUGCAUCGCGGGUUCGAAUCCCGCCCUCUCCGCCA
This 92-nucleotide transfer RNA is filed under the name Trueperaceae bacterium. RNAcentral describes it as "tRNA-Ser". It matches the Rfam family "tRNA". Rfam says of the family: Transfer RNA (tRNA) molecules are approximately 80 nucleotides in length. Lineage: Bacteria; Thermotogati; Deinococcota; Deinococci; Trueperales; Trueperaceae. The record is from RNAcentral.